Long non-coding RNA from Gigantopelta aegis, 644 nucleotides. RefSeq lists it as uncharacterized. Lineage: Eukaryota; Metazoa; Mollusca; Gastropoda; Neomphalida; Peltospiridae. The record is from RefSeq and is a predicted model, not a curated record. The transcript has 3 exons.
CCGUCUUUCCGAAAUUCAGUCAACACAUUAUGAUGAAUUUCCAAGAAUUGAGAACUCACUCAUUAUAUUCCAUGCAUGUGUGCAUGAUAGUGGUUCCAGUUCUUGUUGCAUAUGUUCAUUCUCAAAGCUGCGGGUCCAGUCCAGUUCGCUAUCAAAUAGUCUUCACUGGCAAGGCUGUCCAGGAAGACCCGCUGUUCACCGAAACAGGGAUCCAGUCGGAAACCUUCUGUCUACUCGUUUGCAAACGGCGUCUUAAAGGAUUAUGUUCUGGAUACGUCUACAACAAAGACCAACAGCGGUGCAUGGGAUACAUCUCGAGGUUAGAACAGCUGACGCAAAUAGCACAGGUCGGAUCGGUCGGGCUUGCAGCGAAGUCGUGCCCGUCGCCUCCAUCGCUGUCCAACGGCGUCGCUGUCUACAGCUCUGCUGGUAGGAAGUGUCGCCACCUACAAGUGUAACACGGACUACCUGUUCAUUGGACUCAGUACGUCAAGUGUAUGUGGUCUUUCUGAAUCGUGGAGCGGAUUUAGCGGUUAUUGCACACGUGUUUCCUUCUAUAACCCCGCAGUACCAUUCUUACAGAAUAUUCCUGGAACAGUUAGUAAUGGGUGGACGGUGGAAAUCUUAGGCACAGCCCUUUCCGG